RNAcentral lists this unclassified non-coding RNA (2164 nucleotides) under Leishmania donovani. Its description in RNAcentral is "gene:LdHU3.14.1850(CDS-product:hypothetical_prote in_conserved)". Lineage: Eukaryota; Euglenozoa; Kinetoplastea; Trypanosomatida; Trypanosomatidae. The record is from RNAcentral.
AUCGUCACCGCAUCCACCACCCCCCACCUCCACUUCCUUCUUACCUUUUCCACCUUUCAUACGGAAGGACUUUCACAGUAGGCUGCCGCUUGAUCGCCGUGACCGCUCCUUCAACCCAUAACUCAGCACGUAAUACCAUUGCUCGUAGGCAUCAGGCUAACAUGUUCCGCCGCGUCACCCUUCCGAUAGGCACCAGUGCUUCCCUGAGCGCCCUACGCAUGGCCGCUCGCGCUGGCACCCACAAGCCCACGACGCACGACUGGUCAAAGAUCUUGCCGCAGCACAUGACCGCUGAGGCACGCACUGCCCUGCAUGCGCAGAGCCACCGCACCGUUUCCGCCGUAGUUCCUGGCAAGAUGUUUAUGCGCCACUGGAUCGUGGCGGAGCAGUCCACCGUGUCUGUCGUGAAUCGUGUCAUCUCGGGCAUGAUCGCGGUCUUUACCAUGAUUUGGGCGGCUGGGUACGCCACGCUGGGCUACAACGGACACAACUCCGCACACGUAGCUGGGUGGAUUUUUAUCGCCUACUGGCUGGUAAUGCACACGCACAUGAUGUGGCUGGCCCCCACGAUGCUGGGCCUCGCCCUCCUGCAGCUUGCGCUGAACUGAUUUGACGUAGGAAGAUGAUGAUGCGGUAGGGUGUUGAUGUGGAAAAACGUGCCCGUGUAUGUCUGUAUGUUUCAUUGGAGGGGGGAUAUGGGGCACAGUGAGUUGGUUCGGUGAGCCCAUCCCUCCACCUCUGUUGUGCCAUGCUGUGUGUAGGCUGGUAAAGCAGAUGCUGGCACGGCGUUGCAACGCAUUGCUGUAGUGAUAGUGUAUGGAGAUGGUGGCAGCGGCGCGCUAACAGCGGGAAGAGAAUGCGAGGAUGGGGGAUGGGGGAUGGGUUGAAGUAGCCACAGGAGUGCUCGCCUUGACUAACUCAGCUCCCUCAUUCUUCCUCGCUCCUCGUCUCUCUCUCGUGUGCUCUCUGCACACAUAACCACAAAACGUGUGCGCGCGCUCGACUUGCGUUGUAGAGAAGCGUGUGCGUGUGUGUGUUUUUGUCGAUAGGGGGGGGGCUGCUGCCGACAGCUGGUGCACUCUCUCUCCGUGUGUGUGUGUUUUUUUUUCCUUUUUCGUAUGCGGUGAGCUCCUCGCCCGUGAUGCGUACCCGCGUCCUUUUUCCCCUUAGCGACUUAGGCCGCCGCUGCGUUUGACCUUUGCACGCGCUCCUCUUGCGUUCUGUUUUGUUUGUUUCGUGGGUUCGCUGGCCGCCCUCUCAUACCCCCCGCCACCUUUUCUUGUGGUUCUUCUCCGCAUCUCUCUCCCCUCUUCCCCUUCGGCGCGUCGAGCGUCUAGGCAACCGAAGACGCAUCGACACGGGCCCAUGCCAGUGCACCUGUCGCGCAUUCAUUUUUGUUUUCGAGCAGAGGUGCACCGCUCCGAUGACGAUGCAGUGUGAGGGGGAAGGGGCGCACCUCGGUGCGUGGCAUCCAGGGCCCACUCCCCACGCUGUGCGAGAGCAGGCCAGGCAGCCCCCGCGGCCCUUUUUGCCCCUGCCAAUGCCGAGCCGCCGCUUCUGGUGGUGGCAGGGUGAGGCGCCUACAGCGUAGGGUGCGGUGAGAGCGACUCACCGCUGCCGAUGUCGGCGGUGAGGUCCUGGAUGGCGCCGCGUCGGAGCGGCCUGUCACGGUGGGCACGCUUGUGCCAUCCAUGUGGCGGGCAGAGUGCCGGCGUGACGGGAACGCAUCUCACCGGGCCCCCCACACGGCCCACUGGUGGUGGGGCGCCUGGGCCACCCCGACGAGGAUGCACCACGUGGCGAUCGCCACAAUGGGGUGGCGGGGUGGGGGAGCGGCUGUGAGGAGACGUGCGAGGCGUGUGGUGCGUAGAAGGUGACGCAGGGGCCGUGCUCAGGUGACCGAGUCGGCGCGCUGCUGGAGCACGUGCCCCCCCUCGCUGCUUCGCACCACGCGAUGGGGGCCUGUGACGGUGCGGGGGGAGGGGGAGGGAGGCCGAGUAGAGUCUGAGCGCGCGCUGCAUGACCGAGAGCGGACACAUGCGGAGACGGAACAAGGCGGCGAUCCUCUUCGAGCGUGAUUCUGGGCCUGAACUUCGCUCUUCGCAGCGGCAUGGCGACGGGCCGACCAGCACCGUCUGGCGCCGUUCGGCCCGGUUCCUUGAUG